GUGCCUCUUCUAUCAUACCUCGAGCUUCUAAAAAGCGAGCCACACUAUUAUGAUGCUCCUUGGGGAUUGAAGGUAAUAUUUCACUGGCUCUUUCCAGAUCUCCACGCAUUACAAGUGUCUUGUAUUCAAUCAAGCUAAGAAGUAAUGUGUAUCUUAAAUUCUUUGUCAAUUAAAUACACACGACUGUGACUGGCAAGAUAUCCAAGUAAAUACAUAGGCCGAU
This 223-nucleotide unclassified non-coding RNA is filed under the name Hevea brasiliensis (rubber tree). Lineage: Eukaryota; Viridiplantae; Streptophyta; Magnoliopsida; Malpighiales; Euphorbiaceae. The record is from RNAcentral.